This 442-nucleotide long non-coding RNA is filed under the name Fukomys damarensis (Damara mole-rat). RNAcentral describes it as "lncRNA (ENSFDAG00000025888.1)". The record is from RNAcentral. Lineage: Eukaryota; Metazoa; Chordata; Mammalia; Rodentia; Bathyergidae.
GCUUUUUACCCUUGCCCCUUUAUUCUUUCUUCUUACUCUUCUCCAUCUUUUUUGUCAGAAACCUGGAUGAAAUGCCUGGAGAUGAUGCAGCCAUUUUGCAAAGAUGAAGCAAAAAAGUCACCAUCUAGGGCUGGCGGGGCAGAAAGCUGCAAAGAUCCAUCAAGAACAGCUGACUGGCUUAAUUCCAGACUUCUUGUUAUGGCCAGGACCAGGACAUCUGUAUUUUACCAGCCCUCCCUGGGAUUAAAAGUUGAGGCUUCCACGCUCUUCACUGAUGGACUGCUUCAUACAUGACUCACAGACAGCACAGUGGAUCUGAAUUUUGGACCAUACUGUGAGCCUGAGCUGUAGCAGCUGGGGCAGCGACACAUGUAAGUUUCACAAAAGUAGUGUUGGUGGAAAUGGAAUGAGAGAAUUCUGUAUGUGAACUCCUGAAAUAGAC